UGGGGAAUUUUCCGCAAUGGGCGAAAGCCUGACGGAGCAAUGCCGCGUGGAGGUGGAAGGCCUACGGGUCGUCAACUUCUUUUCUCGGAGAAGAAACAAUGACGGUAUCUGAGGAAUAAGCAUCGGCUAACUCUGUGCCGA
RNAcentral lists this ribosomal RNA (141 nucleotides) under uncultured bacterium. Its description in RNAcentral is "partial 16S rRNA". It matches the Rfam family "Bacterial small subunit ribosomal RNA", at positions 355 to 511 of the family's 1533-position model. The record is from RNAcentral.